UACAGAGGGGGCAAGCGUUAUUCGGAAUUAUUGGGCGUAAAGGGCGCGUAGGCGGCUUGGCAAGUGGAAGGUGAAAUCCCUCGGCUUAACCGAGGAACUGCCCUCCAAACUGCUUCGCUUGAGACCGGGAGAGGUGAGUGGAAUUCCCAGUGUAGCGGUGAAAUGCGUAGAUAUUGGGAGGAACACCAGUGGCGAAGGCGGCUCACUGGACCGGUACUGACGCUGAUGCGCGAAAGCAUGGGGAGCGAACGGG
This 253-nucleotide ribosomal RNA is filed under the name uncultured bacterium. Its description in RNAcentral is "partial 16S ribosomal RNA". It matches the Rfam family "Bacterial small subunit ribosomal RNA", at positions 524 to 776 of the family's 1533-position model. The record is from RNAcentral.